UAUUGCACAAUGGGCGGAAGCCUGAUGCCGCGACGCCGCGUGAGUGAAGAAGUAUCUCGGUGUGUAAAGCUCUAUCAGCAGGGAAGAAAAUGACGGUACCUGACUAAGAAGCCCCGGCUAACUACGCGCCAGCAGCCGCGGUAAUACGUAGGGGGCAAGCGUUAUCCGGAUUUACUGGGUGUAAAGGGAGCGUAGACGGCGAUGCAAGUCUGAAGUGAAAGGCGGGGGCCCAACCCCCGGACUGCUUUGGAAACUGUAUGGCUGGAGUGCAGGAGAGGUAAGUGGAAUUCCUAGUGUAGCGGUGAAAUGCGUAGAUAUUAGGAGGAAAACCAGUGGCGAAGGCGGCUUACUGGACUGUAACUGACGUGGAGGCUCGAAAGCGUGGGGAGCAAACAG
RNAcentral lists this ribosomal RNA (396 nucleotides) under uncultured bacterium. Its description in RNAcentral is "bacterial SSU rRNA". It matches the Rfam family "Bacterial small subunit ribosomal RNA", at positions 362 to 775 of the family's 1533-position model. The record is from RNAcentral.